AUGUCUAUUAUCACACCUUCUAACCCUCUCCUCUUCUAUCUCCUUCUCUACCUCUCCUUCUCAUCCUCUAUUAUCACACCUUCUAACCCCUCCUCUUCUAUCUCCUUCUCUACCUCUCCUUCUCAUCCUCUAUUAUCACACCUUCUAACCCUCUCCUCUUCUAUCUCCUUCUCUACCUCUCCUUCUCAUCCUCUAUUAUCACACCUUCUAACCUCUCCUCUUCUAUCUCCUUCUCUACCUCUCCUUCUCAUCCUCUAUUAUCACACCUUCUAUCCCUCUCCUCUUCUAUCUCCUUCUCUACCUCUCCUUCUCACCCUCUCCUCUUCUAUCUCCUUCUCUACCCCUCUCCUUCUCACCCCUCUCCUCUUCUAUCUCUCCUUCUCUACCUCUCCUUCUCACCCUCUCCUAUUCUAUCUCUCCUUCUCUACCUCUCCUUCUCACCCUCUCCUCUUCUAUCUCUCCUUCUCUACCUCUCCUUCUCACCCUCUCCUCUUCUAUCACUCCUUCUCUCCCUCUCCUUCUCACCCUCUCCUCUUCUAUCUCUCCUUCUCUACCUCUCCUUCUCACCCUCUCCUCUUCUAUCUCUCCUUCUCUACCUCUCCUUCUCACCUUCUCCUAUUCUAUCUCUCCUUCUCUACCUCUCCUUCUCACCCUCUCCUCUUCUAUCACUCCUUCUCUUCCUCUCCUUCUCACCCUCUCCUAUUCUAUCUCUCCUUCUCUUCCUCUCCUUCUCACCCUCUCCUAUUCUAUCUCUCCUUCUCUACCUCUCCUUCUCACCCUCUCCUCUUCUAUCUCUCCUUCUCUACCUCUCCUUCUCACCCUCUCCUCUUCUAUCUCUCCUUCUCUUCCUCUCCUUCUCACCCUCUCCUCUUCUAUCUCUCCUUCUCUACCUCUCCUUCUCACCCUCUACUCUUCUAUCUCUCCUUCUUUACCUAUCCUCUUGUAUCUCUCCUUCUCAGGGAGAUGUGUUGUGAACAGCUCUUACCUCUAACUCAGACAUCCACAUUUAACACAUACUAA
This 1020-nucleotide long non-coding RNA is filed under the name Salmo trutta (river trout). Its description in RNAcentral is "lncRNA (ENSSTUG00000044131.1)". The record is from RNAcentral. Lineage: Eukaryota; Metazoa; Chordata; Actinopteri; Salmoniformes; Salmonidae.